Molecule: long non-coding RNA, 498 nt
Filed under: Mus spicilegus (steppe mouse)
Lineage: Eukaryota; Metazoa; Chordata; Mammalia; Rodentia; Muridae
Description: lncRNA (ENSMSIG00000016457.1)
Source: RNAcentral
UACACAUACCACACAUGUUCUCCUUACUCUUCCACAUCCCUUCCUCAACCCCACCCGCCUCUCGAUUAGAGGUAAUAUAGUCCUAAAGAUAACAAGCGUCUAGGCUGGACCCGCGCGCCCGCGCGCACGCGCUCCCCUUCAGGACAGGCGGGGGAGGCUUGGGUCUGAGCCCGCUAGGGACUCCAGGUGUGGCGAUAACUCCGUGCUCCGCGUUUUGCAGGCAGCCACGGUGUCGGAGGCGAGGCGAGGAAGGGAGCUGGAAUAACAAAGAACGAUCCUGAAGGCAGCAGAACAGAGCAGGACUGAAGGCCACCAAGGGGAUUUCAACUCUUCAGAAAAAAAUAAAUGACUCACCUUCUCACAAAGAGUAAGAAUCACAGAGGUCAGAUUGUCUCCUCCUGCCCAUCAGGGACAGAGUCCCCCAUCUUUGGCUUGCUCCAUCUGGCAGGGCUCAAAGAAGAUCUGGAGUUGGGGCUUCCCAGAAGUAUCAAAGCCUUC